CUGACGCUUAGGCUUGAAAGUGUGGGGAGCAAAUAGGAUUAGAUACCCUAGUAGUCCACACUGUAAACGAUGGAUGUUAAGUGUCGGAGCGAAUACUUCGGUGCUGCAGUUAACACAUUAAACAUCCUGCCUGAGUAGUACAUUCGCAAGAAUGAAACUCAAACGGAAUUGACGGGGACCCGCACAAGUGGUGGAGCAUGUUGCUUAAUUCGACGGUACACGAAAAACCUUACCUAGACUUGACAUCUUGGGCGAAGCUAUAGAAAUAUAGUGGAGGUCAACCCAAUGACAGGUGGUGCAUGGUUGUCGUCAGCUCGUGUCGUGAGAUGUUGGGUUAAGUCCCGCAACGAGCGCAACCCUUAUCGUUAGUUACUUUGUCUAACGAGACUGCCAACGUAAGUUGGAGGAAGGUGGGGAUGACGUCAAAUCAUCAUGCCCCUUAUGUCUAGGGCUGCAAACGUGCUACAAUGGCCAAUACAAACAGUUGCAAAU
This 492-nucleotide ribosomal RNA is filed under the name Mycoplasmoides gallisepticum. RNAcentral describes it as "bacterial SSU rRNA". It matches the Rfam family "Bacterial small subunit ribosomal RNA", at positions 740 to 1254 of the family's 1533-position model. The record is from RNAcentral. Lineage: Bacteria; Bacillati; Mycoplasmatota; Mycoplasmoidales; Mycoplasmoidaceae.